Solanum dulcamara is the source of this 587-nucleotide long non-coding RNA. RefSeq lists it as uncharacterized. The record is from RefSeq and is a predicted model, not a curated record. The transcript has 3 exons. NCBI's taxonomy places the organism in Eukaryota, Viridiplantae, Streptophyta, Magnoliopsida, Solanales, Solanaceae.
AAGGAAAAGAAAAUAAGGGGAAAAUCGAUCAAGGAAAAAAAUAGGAAGAAAAUUGAAAUCUUGCUUCAAAAAUUAUUUUCUCCUAGUAUUCCUACUAAUUCAAGGAUUCUCUACAAUAUGAUAAAGUUAUUUUGGAAAAUAGGAGGCUUGUUUGGUUGAUUUGAAGCUUUGGUAAAGUGAAGAAGUUGGAAGGAAAAGGGGAGAUGCUGCCGAAAUUUUUGUAGACAAGUAUUGGAAAAAUUGAGUUCUUAAAGUCUUAUGAAUAGUAAUUGGUAAAUGUGACCAAUUGUAGAUUUUGGAGGAAACGGGAAUUGAAUUUGGACAACCGUAAAACGUCAAAAAGGUACCGAAGUUCGAUUUGCUGAUCCACCUGUUUAGGAUAUUUGCUGCGUCGUUGACAGUGCUCCCUUAUUCAGAGCUUGUAUUUUGCUACUGACUUUAUCUCUAUAUAUUUGGAUAUGUUGGUCAGGGGUACGACGGGGCCUUGUCCCGUCAUAUGACUAUGCUAUCAUCUGUAGAGGUCUGUAGACAGAGUUAUGUUGUGGGUUUUGUAUAUAUGGUUUGGAUUUUUGUGUGUUUUGUGAUAA